This 85-nucleotide transfer RNA is filed under the name Ascidiella aspersa. RNAcentral describes it as "transfer RNA-Met". The record is from RNAcentral. Lineage: Eukaryota; Metazoa; Chordata; Ascidiacea; Phlebobranchia; Ascidiidae.
UAAGACGUAAACUAGUUCAACAUGUUUUAUUAUGUGUAUAAGUUGGCGGGUUCAUAGUCCGCAAAAGCCUUAAUGGCCGUCUUAA